RNAcentral lists this transfer RNA (73 nucleotides) under Halobacteriales archaeon QS_1_68_20. RNAcentral describes it as "tRNA-Met". It matches the Rfam family "tRNA". From Rfam's summary of the family: Transfer RNA (tRNA) molecules are approximately 80 nucleotides in length. Their secondary structure includes four short double-helical elements and three loops (D, anti-codon, and T loops). Further hydrogen bonds mediate the characteristic L-shaped molecular structure. tRNAs have two regions of fundamental functional importance: the anti-codon, which is responsible for specific mRNA codon recognition, and the 3' end, to which the tRNAs corresponding amino acid is attached (by aminoacyl-tRNA synthetases). tRNAs cope with the degeneracy of the genetic code in two manners: having more than one tRNA (with a specific anti-codon) for a particular amino acid; and 'wobble' base-pairing, i.e. permitting non-standard base-pairing at the 3rd anti-codon position. The record is from RNAcentral. Lineage: Archaea; Methanobacteriati; Methanobacteriota; Halobacteria; Halobacteriales.
GGGCCCUUAGCUUAGUGGUCAUAGCACCCGGCUCAUAACCGGGCGGUCGCCGGUUCGAAUCCGGCAGGGCCCA